GAUGAACGCUGGCGGCGUGCCUAAUACAUGCAAGUCGAGCGAACAGAUGAGGAGCUUGCUCCUCUGACGUUAGCGGCGGACGGGUGAGUAACACGUGGAUAACCUACCUAUAAGACUGGGAUAACUUCGGGAAACCGGAGCUAAUACCGGAUAAUAUAUUGAACCGCAUGGUUCAAUAGUGAGAGACGGUUUUGCUGUCACUUAUAGAUGGAUCCGCGCCGCAUUAGCUAGUUGGUAAGGUAACGGCUUACCAAGGCAACGAUGCGUAGCCGACCUGAGAGGGUGAUCGGCCACACUGGAACUGAGACACGGUCCAGACUCCUACGGGAGGCAGCAGUAGGGAAUCUUCCGCAAUGGGCGAAAGCCUGGCGGAGCAACGCCGCGUGAGUGAUGAAGGUCUUCGGAUCGUAAAACUCUGUUAUUAGGGAAGAACAAAUGUGUAAGUAACUAUGCACGUCUUGACGGUACCUAAUCAGAAAGCCACGGCUAACUACGUG
RNAcentral lists this ribosomal RNA (497 nucleotides) under uncultured bacterium. RNAcentral's name for it is "partial 16S ribosomal RNA". It matches the Rfam family "Bacterial small subunit ribosomal RNA", at positions 28 to 507 of the family's 1533-position model. The record is from RNAcentral.